This 480-nucleotide ribosomal RNA is filed under the name uncultured bacterium. RNAcentral's name for it is "partial 16S ribosomal RNA". It matches the Rfam family "Bacterial small subunit ribosomal RNA", at positions 28 to 507 of the family's 1533-position model. The record is from RNAcentral.
GACGAACGCUGGCGGCGUGCUUAACACAUGCAAGUCGAACGAUGAAGAAAAGAAUCGAAGCUUCGGCAGAAAUUCAUUUCGGAUUAGUGGCAGACGGGUGAGUAACGCGUGAGCAACCUACCUCUUACAAAGGGAUAGCCUCGGGAAACCGGGAUUAAUACCAUAUAACAUUGCGACGAAGCAUUUCGCUGCAAUCAAAGCUACGGCGGUAAGAGAUGGGCUCGCGUCCCAUUAACCGGAUGGUGAGGUAACGGCGCACCAUAGUGACGAUGGGUAACCGGGCUGAGAGGGUGAACGGUCACACUGGAACUGGGACACGGUCCAGACUCCUACGGGAGGCAGCAGUGGGGAAUAUUGCACAAUGGAGGGAACUCUGAUGCAGCGACGGCGCGUGAGUGAUGAAGGAAUUCGUUUCGUAAAACUCUGUUCUAUGGGAAGAAAAGGACGGUACCAAAGGAGAAAGCUCCGGCUAAAUACGUG